This is a long non-coding RNA of Homo sapiens (human), 1785 nucleotides long. RefSeq lists it as uncharacterized. The transcript is spliced from 2 exons. The record is from RefSeq and is a predicted model, not a curated record. NCBI's taxonomy places the organism in Eukaryota, Metazoa, Chordata, Mammalia, Primates, Hominidae.
UAUAUAUAUGUAACAAAAAACAUAAAUCCAAGGCAGAACUCAGGCCAAAAUACCACCAAAGACAGCCAACCCUUUGGAGGAUGAGCGUAUACAAUUUAGUCUGAAAGGUGCAUGGGAAAAAAGCCACAGAAGGUGGGCCAGAUGGAUAUCUUCUGGUGAUAAUGUCAGAGCCACAGGUUGAACCAGAAGCCCAAGCCUGGGAGAAUGAAGUAUGUCUACAGAAUGACUAGGUCUCAGUAAGGAGGGCCAAAACUGGCCUAGCCGACUCCAAGGGCUCUGACUGAGGUGUCAGAGGUACAGACAGGUGAGGCUGCCCUUAUGAUGGGAAUGUUGGAUCCUGCCCACAAAACUGGGAGCUCCCUUGUUCCCAAAGCAGGAGAAUCACAUUCCACAUACUUGCAAUUGUUGACUACUGGUCAGAAUCGUUGAAAACAAAAAGUGUAUUGUUUGAAACCAAAAAUAGAUUUGAUGCACCUGCUAGCAAAAUACUAAAUUUUUGUAGCUGCCAGAUGUAAAGCACAGAAUCAGCAAUGAAGAAUGCAAAGGGGAGCAUACUGUGUCUCUAUAAUUGAGCAUGAUGACAAUAAUUGGCCAGACAUUUCACAUUUCACCUAACCACUUGCUGCACAAUUUAUCCAUGGGUGAAAUAAAUGGAAGUGGGUCUUUUUGUUUUAUUUUAUUUUUUAAGUAACACAGUCUUGCUUUGUUGCCCAGGCUGGAGGGCAGUGGCAUGAUCAUAGCUCACUGUAACCUCAAACUUCUGGGCUCAAGCGACCCUCCCACCUCAGUCCCCCAAGCAGCUAGGACUACAGGUGUGCACCACUGUAUCUGGCCAAGUUUGUGUGUGUGUGUAUUUUUUUUUAUAGAUAGAGUCUGGCUAUGUUGCCCAGGCUGGUCUCAAACUCCUGGGCUCAAGUGAUCCUCCCACAGUGCUGGGAUUAUAGGCAUGAGCCACUGCGUCCAGCCCAGAAAUGGGUAUUUUAAACGUAUUACGAAAAACAAAUUGUUAUGGGUGGAGAUGUGUCCCCUGCAAAUUCAUAUGUUGAAAUCUUAACCUCUAGCACCCCAGAAUGUGACUGUAUUUGGACAUAUGGCCUUUAAAGAAGUAAAGUAAAAUGAGAUAAUUACUUUAGGCCCUAAUCCAAUUUGACUGGCCCUACUAGGAAAUGGAAAUCAGGACACAGACAUGAGCACAUACAGAGAAAAGACUGUGCCAGGAGCAAGCUGCCAUCUGCAAGCCAAGGAGAGAGCUCUCAGAAAAAAACGAUCUUGCCGACACCUUCCUUUUGCACUUCCAGCCUCCAGGACUCCUGCAAGUGCUCAGAGGACACCCAACCCUAUGAUCUCAGCCAACUCAUGAAGUUUGAUUUCACAACUUAGUGAUGUCUUCCCAGUGGAAUCCUAAAUGAUAAGGAAAAUGGUAUAGAGCCAAGACUUGAACAUUAACAACCCAGGAGCACAGAAACAGCACAGUUAGCUGAGAGGCGUUAUGGAGAGAAGCAACUGAAUGCACACUGAGCGCUGUGAGAAGUCCACGACAGUGGGGAACAGCGCCCACCGUCACAAAAAGAAAGACCCUCGGCAGGUACUUUAGAGUCACGUUCAUGCUGUAAUAUGUGGGGAAGAAAGACUAUUCCAAAUGGAUCUGGCUCUUUAAAACAAGGGAAUUUUCCUUGCUCUUGGGAACCAGCAAAAUCCAGCUGCUCAUUGAACUGCCUGUCUGGAAUCUCACAAAUUUGCACCUUGAAGUUGUUAAUAAAGGACUAAGUUGAUAAUUCAAACAAA